UACAGAGGUCUCAAGCGUUGUUCGGAUUCAUUGGGCGUAAAGUGUGCGCAGGCGGCCGCGCAAGUCGAGUGUGAAAGCCCCGAGCUUAACUUGGGAACUGCGCUCGAAACUACGUGGCUGGAGUGUGGCAGAGGGAGGUGGAAUUCCACGUGUAGCGGUGAAAUGCGUAGAGAUGUGGAGGAACACCGAUGGCGAAGGCAGCCCCCUGGGU
RNAcentral lists this ribosomal RNA (211 nucleotides) under uncultured prokaryote. RNAcentral's name for it is "partial 16S ribosomal RNA". It matches the Rfam family "Bacterial small subunit ribosomal RNA", at positions 524 to 734 of the family's 1533-position model. The record is from RNAcentral.